Pelobates cultripes (western spadefoot toad) is the source of this 209-nucleotide non-coding RNA. NCBI's taxonomy places the organism in Eukaryota, Metazoa, Chordata, Amphibia, Anura, Pelobatidae. The record is from the annotation of a GenBank genome assembly.
CGUUGGUAAGGUGUGCGUCCCAUGACGGCGACUUUGCAAUCGGAUGUCUGCUCUAUCAACUUUCGCUGCCACUUUCUAUGCCUACCAUGGUGACCACAGGUAACGGGGAAUCAGGGUUCGAUUCCGGAGAGGGAGCCUGAGAAACGCCUACCACAUCCAAGGAAGACAGCAGGCGCAUAAAUUACCCACUCCGCAAGGAGGUAGUGACG